ACUAGGAUGCCUUCAGUAACGGCGAGCGAAGCAGGCAUAGCUCAAAUUUGUAAUCUGGCGCCUUUGGCGUCCGAGUUGUAUUUUCUAGAAGCGAGUUCGGCGACAGCUCCUACCCAAGUCCGUUGGAACGCGGCGUCAUGGAGGGUGAGAAUCCCGUGAAUGGUAGGAUGUCUGCUGCUAUGUGAACCGCCUUCGAAGAGUCGAGUUGUUUGGGAAUGCAGCUCUAAAUGGGAGGUAAAUUUCUUCUAAAGCUAAAUAUUGGCCAGAGACCGAUAGCGAACAAGUAGAGUGAUCGAAAGAUGAAAAGAACUUUGAAAAGAGAGUUAAACAGUACGUGAAAUUGUUGAAAGGGAAGCGCUUGAGAUCAGACUUCCUGUCUGGACUGUCCUUGCUUUUGCUUGGGUCAACAGUCCAGGCGUGGAGGCCAGCAUCAGUUUUGACGGCCGGAUAAAGGCCCUGGGAAGGUAGCUCCCCUCGGGGAGUGUUAUAGCCCCAGGGUGUAAUACGGCCAGUUGGGACUGAGGACCGCGGCUCUGCCUAGGAUGCUGGCGUAAUGGUCUUAAGCGACCCCGUCUUGAAACACGGACC
RNAcentral lists this ribosomal RNA (588 nucleotides) under Taphrina sp. HA1613. RNAcentral describes it as "eukaryotic LSU rRNA". It matches the Rfam family "Eukaryotic large subunit ribosomal RNA", at positions 68 to 667 of the family's 3401-position model. Lineage: Eukaryota; Fungi; Ascomycota; Taphrinomycetes; Taphrinales; Taphrinaceae. The record is from RNAcentral.